This 467-nucleotide ribosomal RNA is filed under the name uncultured bacterium. RNAcentral describes it as "partial 16S ribosomal RNA". It matches the Rfam family "Bacterial small subunit ribosomal RNA", at positions 28 to 507 of the family's 1533-position model. The record is from RNAcentral.
GACGAACGCUGGCGGCGUGCUUAACACAUGCAAGUCGAACGAUGAUCAGGAGCUUGCUCCUGUGAUUAGUGGCGAACGGGUGAGUAACACGUGAGUAACCUGCCCCUGACUCUGGGAUAAGCGUUGGAAACGACGUCUAAUACUGGAUAUGAUCACUGGCCGCAUGGUCUGGUGGUGGAAAGAUUUUUUGGUUGGGGAUGGACUCGCGGCCUAUCAGCUUGUUGGUGAGGUAAUGGCUCACCAAGGCGACGACGGGUAGCCGGCCUGAGAGGGUGACCGGCCACACUGGGACUGAGACACGGCCCAGACUCCUACGGGAGGCAGCAGUGGCGAAGAUUGCACAAUGGGCGAAAGCCUGAUGCAGCAACGCCGCGUGAGGGAUGACGGCCUUCGGGUUGUAAACCUCUUUUAGUAGGGAAGAAGCGAAAGUGACGGUACCUGCAGAAAAAGCACCGGCUAACUACGUG